Molecule: ribosomal RNA, 771 nt
Filed under: uncultured euryarchaeote
Lineage: Archaea; Methanobacteriati; Methanobacteriota
Description: bacterial SSU rRNA
Rfam family: Archaeal small subunit ribosomal RNA
Source: RNAcentral
AGCGUCCGUAGCCUGCCGUACGGGUCCGUCGGGAAAUCCGCCCGCUUAACGGGCGGACGUCCGGCGGAAACCAUACGGCUUGGGACCAGAGGACCCGAGGGGUACGUCGGGGGUAGGAGUGAAAUCCCGAGAUCCUCGACGGACCGCCGGUGGCGAAAGCGCCUCGGGAAGAUGGAUCCGACGGUCAGGGACGAAAGCUUGGGUCUCGAACCGGAUUAGAUACCCGGGUAGUCCAAGCUGUAAACGAUGCUCGCUAGGUGUGGCGUAGGCUACGAGCCUGCGCUGUGCCAAAGGGAAGCCACGAAGCGAGCCGCCUGGGAAGUACGUCUGCAAGGAUGAAACUUAAAGGAAUUGGCGGGGGAGCACUACAACGGGAGGAGCCUGCGGUUUAAUUGGACUCAACGCCGGACAUCUCACCGGUUCCGACUCUGGGAGUGAAGGUCAGCUUGACGAGCUUACUAGACCCAGAGAGAGGUGGUGCAUGGCCGCCGUCAGCUCGUACCGUGAGGCGUCCUGUUAAGUUAGGCAACGAGCGAGACCCGUGUCCGUAGUUGCCAGCAGCACGUUCAGUGGCUGGGUACACUACGGAGACUGCCUCCGCUAAGGAGGAGGAAGGAGCGGGCAACGGUAGGUCAGUAUGCCCCGAAUGAACCGGGCAACACGCGGGCUACAAUGGCACGGACAGCGGGAUGCAGCCCCGAGAGGGGUAGCUAAUCCCACAAACCGUGUCUCAGUUCGGAUUGAGGACUGAAACCCGUCCUCAUGAAGUUG